CCUACGGGAGGCAGCAGUAGGGAAUUUUGCGCAAUGGGGGAAACCCUGACGCAGCAACGCCGCGUGACCGAUGAAGCUUCCAGGAGCGUAAAGGUCUGUCGUAAGGGAAGAAAAGUUUGGAUGUAAAUAAUGUUCGAACCUGACGGUACCUUACAAGAAAGCACCGGCUAACUUCGUGCCAGCAGCCGCGGUAAUACGAGGGGUGCAAGCGUUGUCCGGAAUCACUGGGCGUAAAGGGUCCGUAGGCGUCUUAAAAAGUCAUUUGUUAAAUACACCGGCUUAACCGGUGACCUGCAUUUGAAACUAUUAAGAUAGAGUAUAGGAGAGGAAAGCGGAAUUCCUGGUGUAGCGGUGACAUGCGUAGAUAUCAGGAGGAACACCAAUGGCGAAGGCAGCUUUCUGGCCUAUUACUGACGCUGAGGGACGAAAGCGUGGGGAGCGAACAGGAUUAGAUACCCUGGUAGUCCACGCCGUAAACGAUGAGUACUUGGUGUCGGGGGAUUCGACCCCUUCGGUACCGGAGCUAACGCAUUAAGUACUCCGCCUGGGAACUACGACCGCAAGGUUGAAACUCAAAGGAAUUGACGG
Molecule: ribosomal RNA, 588 nt
Filed under: uncultured Fidelibacterota bacterium
Lineage: Bacteria; Pseudomonadati; Fidelibacterota
Description: bacterial SSU rRNA
Rfam family: Bacterial small subunit ribosomal RNA
Source: RNAcentral